Molecule: ribosomal RNA, 468 nt
Filed under: uncultured bacterium
Lineage: Bacteria
Description: partial 16S ribosomal RNA
Rfam family: Bacterial small subunit ribosomal RNA
Source: RNAcentral
GACGAACGCUGGCGGCGUGCUUAACACAUGCAAGUCGAACGGAAAGGCCCUGCUUUUGUGGGGUGCUCGAGUGGCGAACGGGUGAGUAACACGUGAGUAACCUGCCCUUGACUUUGGGAUAACUUCAGGAAACUGGGGCUAAUACCGGAUAGGAGCUCCUGCUGCAUGGUGGGGGUUGGAAAGUUUCGGCGGUUGGGGAUGGACUCGCGGCUUAUCAGCUUGUUGGUGGGGUGGUGGCUUACCAAGGCUUUGACGGGUAGCCGGCCUGAGAGGGUGACCGGCCACAUUGGGACUGAGAUGCGGCCCAGACUCCUACGGGAGGCAGCAGUGGGGAAUAUUGCACAAUGGGCGGAAGCCUGAUGCAGCAACGCCGCGUGCGGGAUGACGGCCUUCGGGUUGUAAACCGCUUUCGCCUGUGACGAAGCGUGAGUGACGGUAAUGGGUAAAGAAGCACCGGCUAACUACGUG